Long non-coding RNA from Siniperca chuatsi (mandarin fish), 5238 nucleotides. RefSeq lists it as uncharacterized. NCBI's taxonomy places the organism in Eukaryota, Metazoa, Chordata, Actinopteri, Centrarchiformes, Sinipercidae. The transcript has 4 exons. The record is from RefSeq and is a predicted model, not a curated record.
UAGUCCGCACCUGCACUAUUUUGAUUACGGCCAGGAGCAUGGCUAACGCGACUAAUUUCUUUAAAUUGUUCUUUAAAGUAAAGUUAGGUUAUUAAAAGAGAAUAAGAAGAGAGAGACAGGAAAAAUACAGGAGGGCAACAAAUGACACAUUUCUUUCAGAGAAAAGACACAACCACAGACUGAAGCACCUGCCCCCUCCCACCAUCUGAUGAUGUUAACUUACUGAAGACAGCAGACAAGUGAAAUUGGCAGCAUCCUAACCUCCCCAGCUGAUAAUGCUGAUAAUACUGGAAGGCGAUUGGACGCAUGUCAGUGAGCCCAAUUGAUGUGCUUAUAGGAGCUGCCACUGGGGAUACACAGAAAAGAAAGACGUGGAGGGGUGUAACUGCUGACAAUGCUGACAAUGGAGAAAAGAAGAUGGUGGUAGAUGAAACCAUAAAAGGCUGUCUUGGUGAGAAGAGAGAGAUGGAAAGAGAGAGAAAAGCCUCAUCAUUUUGCUCUCCAUUUCAUCUCACGGCGCUAUAAAAGAGAGAUGAAAUCAGACGACUGUCAGGUAAAAGAGAGUAAAACCUUUGCUUCCCCUCUGAAAUGGGCCGAGAAGAGAAAUGGAGAGGAGAGAGGUGGAGCGCCCUGCAUCACUUCUGCUUCACAGAAAAAGCUCUGGACUGUCAAGAGAACAAAAACACUGGAUUUUACAAGGCCGAGCCUGUCAAAGUGGUUAGAAGCCUUUACUGGAGCCCAGUCAGCUUUUAGCAAAGAUGGAGGGAAAAUGUUUUUUAUCAGUUGGGUGGAAUGGUGGGAUAUGUUUUUAAACAUGGCUCAUUUAUAUUUUCUGUGUAAAUUUAGGCAAAUAUCAAAACACAUAAAAAAACAGACAUGUAUCUUGACAUUUAAUGUAUCAUCUUUUUCCAUGUCAAGGUAAAACAAUUUGGAAAACCACAGCUGGACUGGUUUGCUCUUAUGUUUUUGACAUAAGCAUUUAUUUAAAGUGUAUCUUACCAUACUUACAUGCUCGUUUGUACACUUAAACAUCCUGUUCACACUGGCUGUGAAGAGAUCCCCUCCAAUGCUAUUUCAGUGUACAUAAUGUAGACAAAAUCCUCUUUCUGUGAAAAAAAUGCAUCCCAAAGUUUAACCAAAGGUAAUUUGAGGAUUGAGCAGUUGCAAUUAGUCAGAUUAAGUGUGUAUCUCCCAAAGUGUUUAGUACAUUACUAAAAUGACCAAAACUCUGGAAGAUACACACUUGAUUUGACUAAAUCCAACUCCGUUGAGCUUUAGAAGUCAUUUUUCACAGAAUGAGGACUGUGAAAUUUGUGCCCCAUCACUUACAUUGAAAUCACUUUAGGAAUGGAUCUCUUGUAUGGACAGGAAGAACAAUUACAGCGUCCAAUAACACUUGUGACUGUACAAGAUAGACUUGAUAAAAUGUGAACCUGUACUUUAACAUGACUAUAUCUGAAUAUGUAAUCUACAUAAUGACAUCUUAUCAUGGGUCUUUGCAUUUACGCCUGCUAUUAAUAAUUGUUCUGUUAUCUCGAUUUUUUUAACAUUGUGAUUGGAUGUCAAUAUGCAUAUUAAGUAGGCGGUAGGUGCGUCCUAGGUCAAGGGAAAGUUUGUGUACUACCUUUUGAAAGAAACAUAAUUCUGCCUGGAUUAUAUUUUCUGCAAAAUGUUCACUGACAUUAUCCGUUUGUGGCAGCCAGAAUUCUUUUCACGGUUAGUUUAGGUCAAAGCACUUGGUUAAGGUCAGGGAAUGAUCUUCGGCUUGGUUAAAUAUUGAAAAGUCAACGGUGACACAAGACAAGGACGUGUUUACAUUUCCGUAUAUAUCUCUGUAUUUCUCAAUAUUUAACAAAAACCACUAUCUUUGCUUCACCUCAACUCAAGUGUUUAGUUUCCUAAACCGAACCACAUGUGAUACGCAGAACACAAACCCUGGUCUAUGGCCCACUCUGACCGCCUCGUUAUGACUUGUGUGCCACUUUAUGGACCUGAAAAACCAUCACCAGUGAACAUAAUCCACACAGCUAUUAAGUUUCUUUUAAAACCUAUUAGGCAAAACCAUUUAGUAAUAUAUAAACAUAAUUUCUUGACAGGAUUACACAAGAACAAUUGAUGGUAAUAUAUUUGAAGAAAAUAUGUACAGAGUCUUCAGCCCACACAGUUAGGUGAAAUGCAUGGCAAAGAAAUCACUCCAUAUUGCAACCCCAUCCCCCCUCUCUCUCACCUACACAGUCAGAAAUCACAGCCUUACUGCCAGCACCCCGACAAAAGUGAAAAUGAAUGCACUCACCACCUGUGGUGGGAGCAGAACAAGAGAGUGGGAGAGGACGUGGGAGAGGAAGAAAGAAGGAAAAGACGUGGCAAUUGUUCAGUCCGAUGAGUCAGUCAAAACAGGAUUCACAGACACUGACAUGUAUAGUAUAUAUCAUGAGUAAUCUUAUGGAAGCCUGCGCUUGACAAAAUACAUAACAGAAAAAGCCAAAAGUAGCAGUUUCAUAAUCAUAUGCUGGUUGUUAUUAGCAUGACAUUUGUUUGUAAGACAUUUUAUCCUCAAAUCCUGUUUCAUAAUCAUCACUGAUAUCAGCAGAAAGCAACAAAUCCCCAAAGUAGUUUGUCUUUUUCUCAGGUGUGUGUGGGAGUGUGUGAAAUGUGAGUGUGACUGAAUGUGUCUCUGCUGGUUCUGUGAUUCAAGUGAAGCAACAGAGUAGUCACUGGGUACGUCUCUGUGUGUGUGUGUGUGUGUGUGUGUGUGUGUGUGUGUGUGUGUGUGUGUGUUUGCCAAGCCACACAGAUCCUGAGCUGUGUCUCAUCCCUCCCACCAUUACUCCUGUCAGCAGGCCUGAAACCACAAACCAUCCCGUCUGGAAACAAAGCCAUUAACUCACAACAACCGUCUCUGUCUCUCUCACACCUUUUUCUUCAGCUUAGAUCUCCUCUCUCCGUCACACUUUACUUGUUUUAUAUCAGUGUGUGAGCUGACAAAUAUAUUAGACGUCUGUGUGUCACAACUGUGACAUUUAACUGUUCCCAUUAGCAAAAAUUACACCUACAGUAACAACUUGAUUUCUCUGUCAACAGUGGCAUUUAGUGUUGAGUGUGUUUGUGAAUUCACCGGCUGAACACCAAACUAGACUGUUCCUGAAUCCAGAACAGUAAAAGGUUGGUGUUUAGACUGGCAUUUGGUCACAUAUUUACACUGGCAGAUAAAUGGGGAGUCUCAUGAGGGACUGGUACGACCUGCCAGGUAGCCUGUGAGAUGGUUAUCAAAAAGGAAGCGCGUAACACAAGUUAUCCCUGAAAAAAUGUGUUAAAACUCUCUACAGCAAAAGGGAAAACAUGUCAAUCAACCUGCCGUGUUUCUUUAUUCUUUCACCUUUAUUUAGGUUUGACAAAGCAGGUACCUUACUAUGAUUCAAAUGUAAAAACAAUAAUUUUGAGAGAAACAAGCUUAAUAAAGACUUGUAGCAACCCAACCUUUCUCCAAAAUGUGGCAUUAUAAACCUGUAUGAAUAUUCAUACAAACAAGGAUCCCUUCAAUAUAUGUUACUUUCCACUUUCUGUAUUAGUUUUAUUAUCACUGAUUCCCACCAGCUUUGCUCAUGUCUGUGUGGAGAAAUAUCAGAUAAUGAAGAGAAAAUAGCUCAAUGUUACUUUGGUAAAAACACAACAUCAUUUUCAGUAUUAUGUCCAUUGUAAAAAGAACUUUUACAUUUUAACUCACGAAACAACAAACCCAGUCAGUGUGGUAUUUUAGAUAACAGUGUAAUCAAUAGUGGUAAAUUAGUAGUGAACAUGCUAGCAGAUUAGCUCGCUAGAGGUUGUGCUAGCUUGGCUUCCAUCGGUCACAUGACUCAUCUUGGAGGUUGUAGUGGUCCCUCAAGAGUGUCCCAGUUGAAAGGUUUUAAGCUAACUUGUUGUGUCAUGUACCAUUACAUGAACUACAUACAGUUAGUAACUUUCUCAGCUUUCAACGUGUUUGUUUUGACUCAUAAACCGGUCAGAAUUGAACAAAAGCUCAAGUUUCGAUUCAUCUUAUCUGCUUUCUGAACUUAACCACAAAACAUUAAUAUCUUUCAUGCUGUUUGUUUUCCUCUUUAAACAGAGAUCAACAUGGAAUUCAGGAACACACCCAACAUUGUGAAUUGUGAAGUUCACACAGAGACGAGCCAAGGGGACUGAAUGAGUCCAUGGUCACACUGAGGUGAGCCAAAACUGCUCAUUCAGACAAACUCUUUUACAAUCCUCAAAUAUUGGUUUACUUUCUAACUCGUGAACCUUUCUGAGAAACGGGAGAGAGAUAUGAUGAUGAUGAUAGAGGAUUGUGGAUUAACAACAGCUCUUGUUUCUGUUAGUGAUACGUGGGCAUUAGAUUAAAAUCAAGUGUAGCCAGAGUUUUAGAAAUACUGAGGUCAUUCUUUGCACCCUCCACUAAUCUCAGGAAAAAAACGUGACAAGGUUUCUAACAUUUUUUAAAUACUUGAAUUUUUCGUUUAUUCAGUCAACUGUUCUUGUGUGAACAUGAAGGUCUAAAUGCUGAAGCCCAAACUUAUUUACUAUUUUGUUGAUACAUUUAAAUAUAUUGAGUCUAAAAACAUGCACAUGGUGGGUGUUUUAUACGGCAGUAUUUUUAAAUAGCUUGACAAGGUGUCAGGGGGGUUUCAGGGGGUUACGGGCCAGACUAGCCGUUUCUAUGCUAAGCUAACCGUCUCCUGGCUGCAGCUUCAUAUUUAGCAUUCAGACAUGAGAGUGGAAUCAAUCUUAUCUAAUUCUCUGCAAGUAAGAGUAUUUCCCAAAAUGUCAAACUAUUCCUUUCAUUUAUAGAAAUACAGAGGAUAUGAUCAGUGUCCUAAAUGGUAGCUCUGGCCCUGAUGCGUCACACAACACACAGGCCUUCAGAAGCCCCUGGAGAACAUCAGAUGUGUAUAUUUGUAGGUAACAACUGAUGAAAUGUUGUCAAUCACAAGGAAAUGGGCCAUUCUACAAAAACUGUUUUAUUGAUUUAUUAACAACUGUACAUUUCUUUUCAGUGCUGACAGCAUUUGCUACAUACUUUGGUGUGAUUCAGAGGGACUGGCGCAUUUCGCCCCUUUUUAUUUUAUUUUAUUUUGGGAAAUGCUGACAGGAUCAGGAGCACAGUGUACAAACCAAAAUUAUUCACUGUUGUCUUAACGUCAACAUUGGAGAUACUAUAUUUUCUAAUUUGUGUACUUCUGUUGCCAUUCCUUCCUUCCCCAA